Luteococcus japonicus LSP_Lj1 is the source of this 415-nucleotide non-coding RNA. Lineage: Bacteria; Bacillati; Actinomycetota; Actinomycetes; Propionibacteriales; Propionibacteriaceae. The record is from Rfam.
CGAGUUCGUCGGGUGACCGCGGCGGGAGCAAUCCCGUCGAGGAAAGUCCGGACUCCACAGGGCAGGGUGGUCGGUAACACCGACCCGGAGUGAUCCGCGGGAAAGUGCCACAGAGAACAGACCGCCAGCGCCGCACUUCCUCGUGAAGUGUUGCUGGUAAGGGUGAAACGGCGGUGCAAGAGACCACCGGCGCCCCAGGCGACUGGGGCGGCCAGGCAAACCCCACCCGGAGCAAGACCAAGAAGGCCCACCCCGGUGGGUCGCGGACGUGAUCGAGGGCUGCCCGCCCGAGCGUCCGGGUAGGUCGCACGACGCGUGAGCGUCGAAGGCGUCUGGCAACAGGCGUCGCAGAUGGAUGGUCACCCAUCGCGGGAAACCGCGGGGACAAAAUCCGGCUUACAGACGAACUCGUCCC